Molecule: ribosomal RNA, 143 nt
Filed under: uncultured bacterium
Lineage: Bacteria
Description: partial 16S ribosomal RNA
Rfam family: Bacterial small subunit ribosomal RNA
Source: RNAcentral
UGGGCGCAAGCCUGAACGAGCAAUGCCGCGUGAACGAGGAAGUCUCGGAUCGUAAAGUUCUGUUGAAGGGGAAAAAGAGCGGAGAGAGGAAAUGGUCUCCGAUUGAUAUUACCCUUCGAGGAAGUCACGGCUAACUACGUGCC